CCUACGGGAGGCAGCAGUGGGGAAUUUUGGACAAUGGGCGCAAGCCUGAUCCAGCAAUGCCGCGUGCGGGAAGAAGGCCUUCGGGUUGUAAACUGCUUUUGUACGGAACGAAACGGUCCUGGUUAAUACCUGGGGCUAAUGACGGUACCGUAAGAAUAAGCACCGGCUAACUACGUGCCAGCAGCCGCGGUAAU
Molecule: ribosomal RNA, 194 nt
Filed under: uncultured bacterium
Lineage: Bacteria
Description: partial 16S ribosomal RNA
Rfam family: Bacterial small subunit ribosomal RNA
Source: RNAcentral